GAUGAAUAACGUAGCGAAAUGCGAUAAGUAAUGUGAAUUGCAGAAUUCAGUGAAUCAUCGAAUCUUUGAACGCACAUUGCGCCCGCCAGUAUUCUGGCGGGCAUGCCUGUCCGAGCGUCAUUUCAACCAUCAAGCCCCGGGCUUGUGUUGGGGACCUGCGUCCGACGCAGGCCCCGAAAACCAGUGGCGGGCUCGCUGUCCACACCGAGCGUAGUAGCUAACCUCGCUCCGGAGUGGCGCGGGCGCCUGCCGUAAAACCCCCCCAAUUUUACAAGGUUGACCUCGGAUCAGGUAGGAAUACCCGCUGAACUUAAGCAUAUCAAUAAGCGGAGGA
RNAcentral lists this unclassified non-coding RNA (334 nucleotides) under soil metagenome. RNAcentral describes it as "partial contains 5.8S ribosomal RNA, internal transcribed spacer 2, and large subunit ribosomal RNA". The stretch from base 1 to 120 matches the Rfam family "5.8S ribosomal RNA", at positions 35 to 154 of the family's 154-position model. The record is from RNAcentral.